AGAGUUUGAUCAUGGCUCAGAUUGAACGCUGGCGGCAGGCCUAACACAUGCAAGUCGAACGGUAACAGGAAACAGCUUGCUGUUUCGCUGACGAGUGGCGGACGGGUGAGUAAUGUCUGGGAAACUGCCUGAUGGAGGGGGAUAACUACUGGAAACGGUAGCCAAUACCGCAUAACGUCGCAAGACCAAAGAGGGGGACCUUCGGGCCUCUUGCCAUCAGAUGUGCCCAGAUGGGAUUAGCUAGUAGGUGGGGUAACGGCUCACCUAGGCGACGAUCCCUAGCUGGUCUGAGAGGAUGACCAGCCACACUGGAACUGAGACACGGUCCAGACUCCUACGGGAGGCAGCAGUGGGGAAUAUUGCACAAUGGGCGCAAGCCUGAUGCAGCCAUGCCGCGUGUAUGAAGAAGGCCUUCGGGUUGUAAAGUACUUUCAGCGGGGAGGAAGGGAGUAAAGUUAAUACCUUUGCUCAUUGACGUUACCCGCAGAAGAAGCACCGGCUAACUCCGUGCCAGCAGCCGCGGUAAUACGGAGGGUGCAAGCGUUAAUCGGAAUUACUGGGCGUAAAGCGCACGCAGGCGGUUUGUUAAGUCAGAUGUGAAAUCCCCGGGCUCAACCUGGGAACUGCAUCUGAUACUGGCAAGCUUGAGUCUCGUAGAGGGGGGUAGAAUUCCAGGUGUAGCGGUGAAAUGCGUAGAGAUCUGGAGGAAUACCGGUGGCGAAGGCGGCCCCCUGGACGAAGACUGACGCUCAGGUGCGAAAGCGUGGGGAGCAAACAGGAUUAGAUGCCCUGGUAGUCCACGCCGUAAACGAUGUCGACUUGGAGGUUGUGCCCUUGAGGCGUGGCUUCCGGAGCUAACGCGUUAAGUCGACCGCCUGGGGAGUACGGCCGCAAGGUUAAAACUCAAAUGAAUUGACGGGGGCCCGCACAAGCGGUGGAGCAUGUGGUUUAAUUCGAUGCAACGCGAAGAACCUUACCUGGUCUUGACAUCCACGGAAGUUUUCAGAGAUGAGAAUGUGCCUUCGGGAACCGUGAGACAGGUGCUGCAUGGCUGUCGUCAGCUCGUGUUGUGAAAUGUUGGGUUAAGUCCCGCAACGAGCGCAACCCUUAUCCUUUGUUGCCAGCGGUCCGGCCGGGAACUCAAAGGAGGCUGCCAGUGAUAAACUGGAGGAAGGUGGGGAUGACGUCAAGUCAUCAUGGCCCUUACGACCAGGGCUACACACGUGCUACAAUGGCGCAUACAAAGAGAAGCGACCUCGCGAGAGCAAGCGGACCUCAUAAAGUGCGUCGUAGUCCGGAUUGGAGUCUGCAACUCGACUCCAUGAAGUCGGAAUCGCUAGUAAUCGUGGAUCAGAAUGCCACGGUGAAUACGUUCCCGGGCCUUGUACACACCGCCCGUCACACCAUGGGAGUGGGUUGCAAAAGAAGUAGGUAGCUUAACCUUCGGGAGGGCGCUUACCACUUUGUGAUUCAUGACUGGGGUGAAGUCGUAACAAGGUAACCGUAGGGGAACCUGCGGUUG
RNAcentral lists this ribosomal RNA (1522 nucleotides) under metagenome. RNAcentral describes it as "bacterial SSU rRNA". It matches the Rfam family "Bacterial small subunit ribosomal RNA". The record is from RNAcentral.